AUUGAACGCUGGCGGCAUGCUUUACACAUGCAAGUCGAACGGUAACAGGCCGCAAGGUGCUGACGAGUGGCGAACGGGUGAGUAAUGCAUCGGAACGUGCCCAGUCGUGGGGGAUAACUACUCGAAAGAGUAGCUAAUACCGCAUACGAUCUAUGGAUGAAAGCGGGGGACCGUAAGGCCUCGCGCGCUUGGAGCGGCCGAUGUCAGAUUAGGUAGUUGGUGGGGUAAAGGCUCACCAAGCCAACGAUCUGUAGCUGGUCUGAGAGGACAACCAGCCACACUGGGACGGAGACACGGCCCAGACUCCUACGGGAGGCAGCAGUGGGGAAUUUUGGACAAUGGGCGCAAGCCUGAUCCAGCAAUGCCGCGUGCAGGAAGAAGGCCUUCGGGUUGUAAACUGCUUUUGUACGGAACGAAACGGCUCUGGUUAAUACCCGGGGCUAAUGACGGUACCGUAAGAAUAAGCACCGGCUAACUACGUG
Molecule: ribosomal RNA, 482 nt
Filed under: uncultured bacterium
Lineage: Bacteria
Description: partial 16S ribosomal RNA
Rfam family: Bacterial small subunit ribosomal RNA
Source: RNAcentral